This 119-nucleotide ribosomal RNA is filed under the name Pteropus alecto (black flying fox). The record is from RNAcentral. Lineage: Eukaryota; Metazoa; Chordata; Mammalia; Chiroptera; Pteropodidae.
GUCUAAGGCCAUGCCACCCUGAACAAGUCCAAUACUGUCUGAUCUCGGAAGCUAAGCAGGGUCAGGCCUGGUUAAUAUUUGGAUGGGAGACCCCCUAGGAAGACCAGGAGCUGUAGGCA